RNAcentral lists this ribosomal RNA (746 nucleotides) under uncultured Finegoldia sp. RNAcentral describes it as "bacterial SSU rRNA". It matches the Rfam family "Bacterial small subunit ribosomal RNA", at positions 28 to 776 of the family's 1533-position model. The record is from RNAcentral. Lineage: Bacteria; Bacillati; Bacillota; Tissierellia; Tissierellales; Peptoniphilaceae.
GACGAACGCUGGCGGCGUGCUUAACACAUGCAAGUCGAACGGGAUUUAGUAGACAGAAACCUCGGUGGAAGAUUACUAAUGAGAGUGGCGAACGGGUGAGUAACGCGUGAGCAACCUGCCUAUGACAGUGGGAUAGCCUCGGGAAACCGGGAUUAAUACCGCAUAAAAUCGUAGAAACACAUGUUUCAACGGUCAAAGAUUUAUCGGUCAUAGAUGGGCUCGCGUCUGAUUAGCUAGUUGGUGAGAUAACAGCCCACCAAGGCGACGAUCAGUAGCCGGUCUGAGAGGAUGAACGGCCACAUUGGAACUGAGACACGGUCCAAACUCCUACGGGAGGCAGCAGUGGGGAAUAUUGCACAAUGGGGGAAACCCUGAUGCAGCGACGCCGCGUGAACGAAGAAGGUAUUCGUAUCGUAAAGUUCUGUCCUAUGGGAAGAUAAUGACAGUACCAUAGAAGAAAGCUCCGGCUAAAUACGUGCCAGCAGCCGCGGUAAUACGUAUGGAGCGAGCGUUGUCCGGAAUUAUUGGGCGUAAAGGGUACGCAGGCGGUUUAAUAAGUCGAAUGUUAAAGAUCGGGGCUCAACCCCGUAAAGCAUUGGAAACUGAUAAACUUGAGUAGUGGAGAGGAAAGUGGAAUUCCUAGUGUAGUGGUGAAAUACGUAGAUAUUAGGAGGAAUACCAGUAGCGAAGGCGACUUUCUGGACACAAACUGACGCUGAGGUACGAAAGCGUGGGGAGCAAACAGG